ACAAGCGGUGGAGCAUGUGGUUUAAUUCGAAGAUACGCGAAGAACCUUACCUGGCCUUGACAUUGAUAGAAUCUGGUAGAGAUACUGGAGUGCUAGCUUGCUAGAACUUGAAAACAGGUGCUGCACGGCUGUCGUCAGCUCGUGUCGCGAGAUGUUGGGUUAAGUCCCGCAACGAGCGCAACCCUCGUCGUUAGUUGCUAACAGUUAGGCUGAGAACUCUAACGAGACUGCCUUCGUAAGGAGGAGGAAGGUGGGGAUGACGUCAAGUCAUCAUGGCCCUUACGGCCUGGGCUACACACGUGCUACAAUGGUCGGUACAAAGGGUUGCCAAGCCGCGAGGUGGAGCUAAUCCCAUAAAACCGAUCGUAGUCCGGAUCGCAGUCUGCAACUCGACUGCGUGAAGUCGGAAUCGCUAGUAAUCGUGAAUCAGAAUGUCACGGUGAAUACGUUCCCGGGCCUU
Molecule: ribosomal RNA, 460 nt
Filed under: uncultured Arcobacter sp.
Lineage: Bacteria; Pseudomonadati; Campylobacterota; Epsilonproteobacteria; Campylobacterales; Arcobacteraceae
Description: bacterial SSU rRNA
Rfam family: Bacterial small subunit ribosomal RNA
Source: RNAcentral